GAUGAACGCUGGCGGCGUGCCUAAUACAUGCAAGUCGAGCGAACGGACGAGAAGCUUGCUUCUCUGAUGUUGGCGGCGGACGGGUGAGUAACACGUGGAUAACCUACCUAUAAGACUGGGAUAACUUCGGGAAACCGUAGCUAAUACCGGAUAAUAUUUUGAACCGCAUGGUUCAAAAGUGAAAGACGGUCUUGCUGUCACUUAUAGAUGGAUCCGCGCUGCAUUAGCUAGUUGGUAAGGUAACGGCUUACCAAGGCAACGAUGCAUAGCCGACCUGAGAGGGUGAUCGGCCACACUGGAACUGAGACACGGUCCAGACUCCUACGGGAGGCAGCAGUAGGGAAUCUUCCGCAAUGGGCGAAAGCCUGACGGAGCAACGCCGCGUGAGUGAUGAAGGUCUUCGGAUCGUAAAACUCUGUUAUUAGGGAAGAACAUAUGUGUAAGUAACUGUGCACAUCUUGACGGUACCUAAUCAGAGAGCCACGGCUAACUACGUG
Molecule: ribosomal RNA, 497 nt
Filed under: uncultured bacterium
Lineage: Bacteria
Description: partial 16S ribosomal RNA
Rfam family: Bacterial small subunit ribosomal RNA
Source: RNAcentral